RNAcentral lists this long non-coding RNA (584 nucleotides) under Cavia porcellus (domestic guinea pig). RNAcentral's name for it is "lncRNA (ENSCPOG00000036542.1)". Lineage: Eukaryota; Metazoa; Chordata; Mammalia; Rodentia; Caviidae. The record is from RNAcentral.
GAUGGUAAGAAAGUAAUGUGUGCUCUUUAAUUUCUUCCAUCCUUCUACCAACAGAAGCAACAACUCACUAAGGGAUUCCUUGGAAGGCAGCAAGUCAAGUGGAACCCUCAGCAGGGAGCCGGUCACGUUACAUGUUGCCCUGGAAGAUCCAUCCAACUGCUUCACAUACCCUUCUACAGCAAGCCCACCUGUGAAAAAUUCAGCUUCUCGAUCAUUUGCUUCCCCUAAAAAGUCUCCAGUACAUUCGCUGCUCACAAGUUCAGCUGAAGAGUCAGUGGAUUCCACACCACAGUACAGAUCCACCAAAACUGUCCCCUCACCUGAUUCUGUUAAAGCAAUGUCUUCCAUGAUCAGAAAUCAAGAAAAGCGGAUACAGAAAGUGAAGGACCAGGAAAAAAUGCUACUAAAAUGACACCUGACUCGCCUGUCUUUUCAGAAGGAUGAUGCCCCAUCCAUUGUGAUGUUACUUAUAAUUAGUGCCCUGUGUACUUUUUUCUUUUUAUGUGAAAAUUUAAUAAAAGGUACUCUGUCCCGUAAACUCUGUUUUGAGAAUUUUGAAAUAAACUAUCCUUAAUGCUCUCCUG